This 75-nucleotide transfer RNA is filed under the name Oxalobacteraceae bacterium. Its description in RNAcentral is "tRNA-Asn". It matches the Rfam family "tRNA". Rfam says of the family: Transfer RNA (tRNA) molecules are approximately 80 nucleotides in length. Lineage: Bacteria; Pseudomonadati; Pseudomonadota; Betaproteobacteria; Burkholderiales; Oxalobacteraceae. The record is from RNAcentral.
UGCCCGAUAGCUCAAUGGUAGAGCGGCCGGCUGUUAACCGGUAGGUUGUAAGUUCGAGUCUUACUCGGGCAGCCA